GGUUCGGUGCCCUCGGGUCGCUUAGCCUCAAAUUUAUUUGAGGCUUUGUGUGUUCCGAGGUUAAGACAGGCCCCUUUUUUUUUUCUGAAAAGAAAGGGGUUGAUUUAAUGUCUGUGCCGACCAUCUUUUCCGGAAAGAUCGGUCUACCCUUAGCUGGGCUGGACUGAUUAGGGGUUUUCCACAAAUUUCUGGAUCUUUUACUGUGAAAAAAUUAGAGUGUUUAAAGCAGGCAUGAUUUGCAUUUGAAUACAUUAGCAUGGAAUAAUAAGAUAGGACUUCGGUUCUAUUUUUAUUGGUUUAUAGGACUGGAGUA
RNAcentral lists this ribosomal RNA (313 nucleotides) under uncultured fungus. Its description in RNAcentral is "partial small subunit ribosomal RNA". The stretch from base 178 to 313 matches the Rfam family "Eukaryotic small subunit ribosomal RNA", at positions 732 to 864 of the family's 1831-position model. Lineage: Eukaryota; Fungi. The record is from RNAcentral.